CGAGCACGCGCGUGUGGCAUAUCAAUAAGCGGAGGAAAAGAAACUAACAAGGAUUCCCUUAGUAACGGCGAGUGAAGCGGGAAGAGCUCAAAUUUGAAAUCUUCAAGGUUCUACCUUGACGAAUUGUAGUUUAUAGAAGUGUUUUCUGUUAGUGGAGUGGCAAAAGUUCUUUGGAAUAGGACAUCAUAGAGGGUGAGAAUCCCGUAUUUGGUCAUUCCUCCUAGCGUUGUGAUACACUUUCAACGAGUCGGAUUGUUUGGGAAUGCAGUCCAAAAUGGGUGGUAAAUUUCAUCUAAAGCUAAAUAUUGGCGAGAGACCGAUAGCGAACAAGUACCGUGAGGGAAAGAUGAAAAGAACUUUGAAAAGAGAGUUAAACAGUACGUGAAAUUGUCAAAAGGGAAGCGUUUGACACCAGUGUUGUUUUUCCGAAAAUCAAUUACGAAUGUUUUAUUUUUGAGGAGUUAUGACUUCGAUCGGCUUGCUCCUUUCUUUAUGAAACUUUCUUAAUGCACUUUUCGGUUAACAAGUCAACAUCAAUUUCUUUUGUUGUAAAAGGGUAUGAGGAAGGUGGCUUUCUUUUCGGAGAAAGUGUUUAUAGCCUUGUGCCUCUGCAAUCGGAGAGAUUGAGGUCUGCAGCGUAGAUCCUUCGGGGUUAGAUACGUUUGUGCUAAGUUAUAGCUUUUCAUAGACAACUUGUUGACUAUGUUUAGUCUUGUAGCUUACUCGCUGACGCUAUUUUACCUACGCUUAGGAUGUUGAACUCUAUCACACACAG
This 775-nucleotide ribosomal RNA is filed under the name uncultured Neocallimastigales. Its description in RNAcentral is "partial large subunit ribosomal RNA". It matches the Rfam family "Eukaryotic large subunit ribosomal RNA", at positions 19 to 621 of the family's 3401-position model. Lineage: Eukaryota; Fungi; Neocallimastigomycota; Neocallimastigomycetes; Neocallimastigales. The record is from RNAcentral.